This 739-nucleotide long non-coding RNA is filed under the name Junco hyemalis (dark-eyed junco). Its description in RNAcentral is "lncRNA (ENSJHYG00000010050.1)". Lineage: Eukaryota; Metazoa; Chordata; Aves; Passeriformes; Passerellidae. The record is from RNAcentral.
UUCACCCCACCCACAUUUUUUAAUGGAGCUGAAGUGAACACACUCUUUUAGGUUACUGCUGUUUAGGCAAGACUCUGUCUAGCUCCAAGAAUAACAUUAGCUGCUGCAGCACAGAUUAAGGGUUGGCAUGAAGGUCCAAGUGUGAGUUUGUCAUCGUUGGUUGGUGCCUGUUGUUCUGAAGACGAGAGAAGCACGAGCUUGUGUGACAUCAGCUUCCGCCUGAAGCAAAUACAAAGCACAGGACUUCUGAGCAUGGCAAGAGACCGUGAAGCAGCAGCACAGAGCACCAGUCCUUCGCUGCUAAGUAAGAAAGCCAAGAUUCUUUCACAAGCUCAAGAAGCAUAUUGCUGCUUUCCAAUAGAGCGUUGGUUUGAUGUGGCCUCUGCCUUCUCACUGGCUAAUCGAGCUCCACUGGGACUGGAGAUGGGUUCCAAGAAAGUACAAUUGAUUAGAUGCAUAUUUUCUGAAUUAUACAACAGAUCACACCCAGCUGCACAGCUUUUCUCAGAUAAUCCUUACAGACCAUUAAUGGAUAUCACACCAUGUCUGAGAGUCUUGCUCACUGUUGUUUGUAGUUGCUCCUGCCCUGGAUCAGAGCCCUUUCUAGUCUAUCUGCUCUUCUGAGAGAGAGAGACUGUGCCCUUUGGAACCCUGAGCAGCAUCAUUGCAGGUAUGGAGCCACACUACCAAGUGGAUUUUUUCUGGUGCACAGCAUCAGCCAGGUGUGUUCAGGGCUGCU